This is a non-coding RNA of Cordylochernes scorpioides, 67 nucleotides long. Lineage: Eukaryota; Metazoa; Arthropoda; Arachnida; Pseudoscorpiones; Chernetidae. The record is from the annotation of a GenBank genome assembly.
GGAUAGCCUAGUGGUCAUGGCAUCUGCCCGGUAAGCGGAAGGUCGUGGGUUCGAUCCCUUGUGACCA